UUGUCGAUCCUCAACGAAAACCUGCGAACACGUUCGAAAAUCUGCGUCGGGCGUCGGGGUAAAACCUGCGCCCCUCGCCACCUGCCCGGCCGAACGGCGACCCAACGGUCUGUCGGUCGUGUCGGGCAACCGAAACAAAAACCGGCGCGGGAAGCGCCAAGGACUUUACGAAAUGGGAUGCCUUCCUGUGGAGAGGGGCCGUUCGCGGAUUCCUGCCACGGGGCUUGAGAGGCACCUCUGAACGAAAUAUUACACGACUCUCGGCAACGGAUAUCUAGGCUCUCGCAUCGAUGAAGAACGUAGCAAACUGCGAUACUUGGUGUGAAUUGCAGAAUCCCGUGAACCAUCGAGUCUUUGAACGCAAGUUGCGCCCGAAGCCAUUAGGCCGAGGGCACGUCUGCCUGGGCGUCACGCAUCGCGUCGCCCCCCC
RNAcentral lists this unclassified non-coding RNA (430 nucleotides) under Hoya rubida. Its description in RNAcentral is "sequence contains 18S rRNA gene, ITS1, 5.8S rRNA gene, ITS2 and 28S rRNA gene". The stretch from base 256 to 411 matches the Rfam family "5.8S ribosomal RNA". The record is from RNAcentral. Lineage: Eukaryota; Viridiplantae; Streptophyta; Magnoliopsida; Gentianales; Apocynaceae.